This 2602-nucleotide unclassified non-coding RNA is filed under the name Polistes dominula (European paper wasp). RNAcentral's name for it is "rNA binding protein fox-1 homolog 2, transcript variant X10". Lineage: Eukaryota; Metazoa; Arthropoda; Insecta; Hymenoptera; Vespidae. The record is from RNAcentral.
AAUCCUAUCCUACCGGUAACGAGAGGAAAGGAAAAAGAAUAUACGUAUACAUUUGCGGAAAGUCAAGGAUAGAAGUCGUGGACGACCUUUGGGCCGCGUUCCUAACGAAACCGGAGUGGCUCGUUUUAAUCGCGUGCCAGAUGCUUUGAGAUAUUCAAAACUAGCAUGGUCGGCGUCGUUGUUAAUCUUCCGAAGCAUCCUCCUCUCCUCCCACUCGCUAGCUUCAAUAAAAUCUAAAAGUUAAGUACGUCGUUCUCGAGAAAGAUACGCGAGGAAGAUGCGCAAGAUCGUUAAUGUUCACAGUAAAUAGCUUUGUCGUUCGUGCAAGUGGCUAGUUUCUCGUUAUUCGGUCUCUACAAAAAAUCAUUGAAAUUUGUAACGAUCGACUAGACAUUUUUUGCAGCGUAACUGUGCCAUCGCGUAUUUUAUCUUCCGUAUCUCGUGAUCAUUUCUCACACGAUGCGAAACGAAGCGAAGCAUACGUGCGCGCGCGUACUUGCAUACACGGCUGACGUAUGCGUGCUGCUAACCAUCUCAAUUAUUUAAUUCCGCUACGAGCAAGCAAAAAUCGUCGAUCCUCGUCGCUUCUUUCUUUGCUCUCGACGAGAACGAUUUUGCCUGGCGAUAUUUCCCAUUUCAUGUGCCUCCUGUGUUCAUCGAUCGACUACACGCACCUAGCACACACACCCUCUAUGUUUAUUUGCCUUCUGUGCCACCUUCUGUGCCACCUUCUGCGCCAAUAUGCAAAUGUCUACGGUUUCUUUGUAUCCGGAUAACCGGCGAUAAUAUAAGAUGAACGACCGUGUCCGUCCUCCUAAUCUCCUUUAGACGAACGUGUUUCUUGUUAAUCCACGUCCGAAAGUAGUCGCCAGAAGUAGCCAACUAGUUUUCUUGCCUGCAUCUCUCUUUCUCUUUUAGUACCUCGACAAUAACGAACGCGGGCAAUUGAAAAGGACCGUACAAACUUAGGUUUUAGAUGAGAGAGAGAGAGAGAAAAAAAAAAGUCACGGAAGCUCGACCUUAAGGUGAUUUAUCGCGACUAAUUUAUUCCAACUUGAGUACUAGCCUGCUCGAGUUUGAGCGGCUAUUUAAAGAGCCAUUUUCCAGGCAUACUCUUUUCGCUUCUAUCUCGAGGGAGAAGUAAAACUACUCUUGGAUAUUGCAGGUACAUAUUUAGAGAGGAAGCUAGUGGUCGGACGUGCAACAUCUUUCAACUAAAUGUUAUCGCAUUUAUCUUUCUCCCUCUUGAUCCCUCUCUAUCUCCUUCUUCUAUAUGAAAGAAAAAUAUUGGUAUUUAAUCGUACGUCGAGCUGAGGUAGAGGCGCCGAUGGAAACUAGCCAAAAGUGUAUCGUCCUCGCGACGGUCACGGUGAACGUAAUCGUCUUUGCUCGCAAAUCCACCCCGCAUAUGGUGCAGACAGGAAUGGCUGCGCCGUACGGUGGGGGUGUCUUCCCACCACCGGUAAACGGUGUCGCGGGUGUUGUUGGGGCAGCCGGGGCGGCAGGCGAGGUUAAACCACCCCCACCGGUACCGGUUAAAGAAGAUAAUAGCGGAGCGGGUCAGCAGGCUCCUCCAAGCGGGGCCCAGGUAGCAGCCCCAACGAGUGGACCACAUCCUUCGGCACCAGGGCAACCAACGGCAGCCAGUUUUAGUCCACCUCCGCCGCCGAAUGGCGUCGAUCAACAAGCCAUCUCGGAGGUCUUUCAGGCGGCAGUGGCUGCAGCGGCCGCCGCCGCGGCCAACAGCGGUGGACAACAAUCUUCUGCGACGCAAGGAGGAAACGAGGCAAGCCAAGAAGGAGCAGUCGAAGCUGGCUCUCUCGUGCCGGUGACUUCCGGUGCGACGACCCCGGCCACUGUAACGCAAGCCACGGAUUUGAAGGGCCAACCUAAGCGCCUUCACGUCAGCAAUAUACCCUUCCGUUUUCGAGAUCCCGAUUUAAGGGCAAUGUUCGGGCAAUUCGGCCCGAUCCUCGACGUGGAAAUCAUUUUUAACGAGAGAGGAAGCAAGGGAUUCGGUUUUGUAACAUUCGCAAAUAGUGCUGACGCGGACCGGGCACGUGAGAGGCUACACGGCACCGUGGUUGAGGGCAGAAAGAUUGAGGUGAACAAUGCAACGGCGAGAGUGCAGACGAAAAAACCACCGACGGUACCCAACGUUUGCGUUCAAUGGCCAGAGGGAUACAGGUUGCCGGCGAUGCCGUGGAGCUGGCUGGGUGCUGCGGCGCCAUCGGCAGCCGCGGCUGCGGCCGUUGCAGCAGCCGCGGUCACCCCAUCCCCCGCAGCUGCACCCCUCGUCCUUACACCAAGGGCGGCGGCGAGACGAAGCUGCAGCAUUAAGAGGAGUGGCAAUUCAAAGGGGAAGAGUUGGAGCGGCAAGGACAGCUUUUCCGAGCAGUGCGGCGGCGUUGGCGUUGGCCAGAAACCCAGGGCCGCUCGCGGCUGCGGCCGCUGCAACGGCCCUUCAUCCCUUUGCGCCUGCUGUCUACUAUGACCCCUUCUUGGCAGCGCACGCAGCGACACAGGACCCCAACUACAGGCUACAGGCAGCUGCAGCGGCGGCCGCAGCAUCGCCAUUGCUAAAGACGCCACUCUCGACGGC